CUAUGCGCCUUGCCCAGCCCGCUCAGGUGUGCCAGCCGCCGCGGUAAUACGGAGGGUGCAAGCGUUAAUCGGAAUUACUGGGCGUAAAGCGCACGCAGGCGGUUUGUUAAGUCAGAUGUGAAAUCCCCGGGCUCAACCUGGGAACUGCAUCUGAUACUGGCAAGCUUGAGUCUCGUAGAGGGGGGUAGAAUUCCAGGUGUAGCGGUGAAAUGCGUAGAGAUCUGGAGGAAUACCGGUGGCGAAGGCGGCCCCCUGGACGAAGACUGACGCUCAGUGCGAAAGCGUGGGAGCAAACAGG
This 298-nucleotide ribosomal RNA is filed under the name uncultured bacterium. RNAcentral describes it as "partial 16S ribosomal RNA". It matches the Rfam family "Bacterial small subunit ribosomal RNA", at positions 479 to 776 of the family's 1533-position model. The record is from RNAcentral.